AUCACUACUCAGCCUUUUGGCCGAGAUCAAGUAUAGUAUGUGUUCUUAUCAGUUUAAUAUCAGAUAUAUCCUCUAUUUGAAGACUAUAUAUUAAAUGAAAAUAUUGAUGGGGUCAAUUUAUAAUGCAAACUUCUAUUACCUGAACCCAAUGAGAAAUUCAGUAACUUCCCUGAAGAGGGAAUUAUU
Molecule: small nuclear RNA, 186 nt
Organism: Anolis sagrei ordinatus
Lineage: Eukaryota; Metazoa; Chordata; Lepidosauria; Squamata; Anolidae
Product: U2 spliceosomal RNA
Source: RefSeq, a predicted model, not a curated record